Anas platyrhynchos (mallard) is the source of this 4388-nucleotide non-coding RNA. The record is from RefSeq and is a predicted model, not a curated record. Lineage: Eukaryota; Metazoa; Chordata; Aves; Anseriformes; Anatidae.
UCUGUUUGACCACAGCCGGGGGGAAUUUGGCUCUUGGUUUUAAUUCCAGCCAGCCCGUGACGGGAGAAACUCAAGCGAGCCAAAGGAGGUGGGAGACAGGAUCUCCCCCACCAAGCCGGGCUUGUGGCACAUCUUGUCUGGAGCACAGGGAGAAAUGUGUCGGCUCGAGGCAGCCACCCUGUUGUCUGCAGGCUGCCUGCCUUCCCCCUGCCCUGCCGUGGUGUUAGAAACACGCCGGGGCUGUCUGAUCGGCGUCUCCUUGUCCCCAGGCUCCAGGCAGGAUGGAUGUUUUUAGGGAGGGGUUUUAACUGGCAGAAUCUCAGCGGUGGGAUUUUGGCCAGGACAAGGGAAAAAACUGCCAGGUUAUGCAAGGCUUGGGGCGUUUAGCAGGGAGCUGCCUUCCCCUAAAGUGCUGCGGAGCUGGAGGAUGGAAGAUGUGACCCGUAGGAUGCCUCCAUCCUGCCUGUGGUGCCAUUGUCUUAUACUUACAAGCGAAAAAAAUCCACAAGGUUCCUAAAAAUCAGAAGAAAAGUGAUUAAUUAUCCCUUAUAUUGCAGAAGAAUUGCCUGUGCUGAUUAAGCUGUUGCUCAUUAGCUCAUAAUGAUUAUCAAGGCACCAACAAUUGAUGCUUUUUCCCCCAGCAGUAAAGGCAGUGCAGGCUGGUUGGAGCAUCUUGGGUCGCAAUGAACCUAUUUUGCACUUUUUCCUGCUAAUAUCGUGCCCAAAUAUCUGCACAGCUGCCCCCGUUGGAGAGUCCCCUGUUCCCUGCAAGAUCCUCCAGCUCCUUCCACAGCACAGGUUGAGGCAGAUUUGUGGAAGGCAGGAGAUUUUGUUUGUGGCUAAAUCUUUUGUAGGAUUUUCUUUAAAGGCCUUAAUGCCAUCAGAAAACAGCAAGAGCCACAUUCCGCUUUCUGUCGGAGCGAAUCUGGAGGAAAUCAGCCGAAGGCAGUGAGGGGUUGCUGGAUUUCUCCCCGUGUAAGCAGAAGCAGAGUUCAGUCCCCAGCACUUGGCUAUUUUCUGCACCAGCAGUUCUGGCCUUGGAAAAAAACGAGAUGCAGUUUUUCUCAUUUUGGCUUGUGAGAAGCUUGAAAACUACCAAGGCCACAGAAAGCGGAAGAGAAGUCUGAGGCUUGUAAAUUAUAAACGGUGGCAACAUCGGGUGUGUUAAUGUAAAAGCAGAUGUUGUGGUGGCUGCUGACCUCGAGACGCUGCAGUCACCCUCUGCUGGGCUCUUAGAUGCAGGAGAGGAGGAGGAGGAGGCUGUAGAAGCUGUUCCCUCUCACUUAAUGUAACACGGGGUUUGAAGGUCUCAGGAAACACCCUGUUUCUUUUUAUGCACCCCUGAAAUAACAGUUCUGGGAAAUAUCAGUAUAUUCUGCUUCAGCCUCCUGUUUUAUGUUAAAUGUUGUUUUGAUGUGAUUGUCAACACCUGCUUGGUGUUAAAAGGGUGCUCAUGGUAAGACCUCUCUACCUGAAACCCAGGAUUAGGCAAUGCCAGAGUGGAAGUUUUUGGUCUCAAUGGGACCAGUUCAAAUUUCCCAGUUCCAUUCCUAGAAAGCCACAUCCAUGGGAGAACUUACUGGGGCUCUGCCUUUGGUUUCCCUUUCAUUUGCACAGUCUGCAGCCCCUCAUCUCAGCCACCUGAGAGCCUCCAGCAUGUUCAUCAGCUCCUUCUGAUUAUGAAAACGUUUGGGGCUUCAAGGAGAGGAGACCUGGGUUCAGGCUGUGCUUUAACACGUGCUCAGUGGUGGCCUUAGUUCUGAUGUAGGCAACUUGUGCAGAGUGUUCCUCCUCUGCUCUGCUGCUCUGUGAGCCAUGGAGCCUUCUGGUGAUGUCCCACAGCCACAGUUCAGCAGAUAAAUUGAAUCUGGGGUCCUUCCCACAGCAUCUUCCACAAGGCAGCUAGCUUGAGCACGGACUGCUCAUGCAAAGCUUUGGCCACAUGGACGUUGAGUAACUGGCGCCAUGAAUGGGCAAAUCGGGUCUGGGUUCAUGCCAGGAUUUAGUCUGGAUUUAAGGAGAACAACCACAGGACCCGUGCGGACACGGGAAUGAGUUGUUGAAGCAUGUCCAGGAGCUCUACUUGGAAAAACAUCCAUGGAGUGCAUGAGAGAUCUGCCUGAGCUGUGGGGAUGCUGCCAGACUGAGAGCACAGGUGACAAAAUGAGAGUUGGAAGCACUGGAGAUCCGAAGCAUCAUCAGCUACUGUGGGUCUUUCUUCAGAUACGUGCCGUGCUUGGGGAUUUCUCAGGCCAGGGUGCUGAGUUUGGCCGCCAAGGCACAAGAUGACAAUUUAUCCCUGGUACAUGUAAUGAAAAAGAAGGAUGAAAAUCAUUUAAAUGUGUUUUGUGGUGGUAAAAGGUGUUCCCAACACUGUACCCUUUUUACAAACCCUAAUCGCAGAGUAAUCCAGGGGUUUGGGGAUGAAGGGAACGGGGCCCUCACGUGGUGUACCAGGCGCAGCGGUGAGGUCUGUGCCUCCAGCAUGGAGUCACUGUGCACGUCAGGCACCAGACCCGAGCCUACCACUAAGGCACGGGGAUAAAUAAAUAAGUUUAAGGAAAUCAGGUGUGAAAACAUAGAGCUGAUUGUCGGAGUUCUGGGAGAACCAGCCGAGACAAAUGGGAUCUGUGACUGCUCAGUGUGUCAGAAAAUCAGCUGGAAGGCCGCUACGAACGGCGGCAAGCAGGCACCGGAGGUCUUCUGCAAGACGAGAAAGCCUGUUUUAUAAAGUUGCAAAAUCGUGAAAAACAAGAUCUGCAUGGGGAUACUGGUUCAGUCUAAUUUUAUUAUUAUUUGGGGAAGAAAAUGAAACUGAUGUUUGAAAUAGCAAGCGAGCUGUCCUGUGUAACAUCUUUUUUAUUUAUUUAUUUUUUAAUCUAAAUUGGGCAUGUGUUCAAAAGGCCAUCAGUGCCACCAGGGUGACUACAGCGAGCCACCUGUGUGCUGUAUCCAGGAACACAGAUCCACAAUUGCUUGGGUGAGCGCAGAUGUCCCAGCUUCUCCUCGGUAGCUCUCAGUCUUCAUGGUCCACAUUUAACCUGCCGUGGUUAAAUGUGGGCACCAGCCUGGUCUUCCUAACCCCCUGAAAGCAAGAAGUCAUAAAACGCAGCUUAUUCGAGCCACUCAAGAACAAAUAAAAGUAUCAUAAUCUCCCCCUUCGUGCUUUGCAGGCAGUAUAUCGGCAGUGGAAACACUGCCAAACUUCUUGUUUAAAUACUUACUGGUAUGGUUAAUGUUCCCUGCGAGGACGAGCUUUUCUUACAGAAGGACACUGUUUACGAUUAAGACAAGGGCUGGCUACUUUGCCAUUAAAAUUCUGUGCCAGUCCGGCGCUGACAAUAUUGAGGCUUUGCUAAAUGUGUAUACACGCAAGUUCAUUAAAUGGAUGCUGACUGUUGUUACACAAGUACAGCAGUUGAGUGCUUUCUGUAUUAACCUUAUCACCUGAUGGGCAAAAGAAAAGGUUUAACUAAAGCUUAGGACUAAUUGAACAGUAUUUCAGUAUUUUCUUAUGUAAAACUGGUUCUGGUCUAUUGUUUUUAUUUAUUUGCAAUAACUGUGCUCAUUCAAGUUUGUAAUGACACUGCCAUGGGUGAAGAGAAUUUGCUUUAAGUAUUAUUCUCCCUUUUCCUAUCUCCUGCUUCCUCUAAACUGCGUCUCUCAGGGGUAAAUCUGCAACAGAGCCCAAUACAAAGACAACUCUCUAAGUACACAGCCACUUUCGGAGAUAUGUUCUCCAGCUCUGUUGUUAAAUUACUUUAGAAGUUCCUGUUUAUUUUCUCUGCCUGCCUUGGGUAUUUCCUGUCAGGCUGAGCGGAGCACAAACCAGGAGGAGAUAGCAGAGACUAAGCCUCCCCCUGAAAGGCAGCAGGCGUUUCACCAGCUACACCCAGCUCUCCAAACCACCAGCACUUUCUUUGCUUACUUACCACUAGAGUAUGCUCUCGUGCUGCAAGUUCCAGGUGAUGGCUGGUUUAUUUAUUUAUUUAUUUUUUCCAAUAAAUCAAAAAGCUUUCAAAAAUUCAAGAGCUUUUCGCUUCCCCUAGCGCUUUUCCCCCCAGGAAUACUUUUUUUUCUUUUAUAAUUUAUUAUUAUUAUAGUUAUUUUUAUUAUUGUUGUUGUUAAUGUUAAUGUUAUGGUUAUUAUUUUAUUAAUAAUAUAUUGUUAUUAUUUAUUAUUAUAUUUAUUAUUGUUAUUAAUGCCUUUGAGCCUACCCUCAAGGCUUUGAGGAAGCCCAGAGAGUUGUUGUGCAUUGCUCUGUGGUGGGGUGACUCUGACUUGGGUUUGGGCAACUCUCAACUUUUAGAGCAUGAAUGAAAAUGGUUUAAAAUACCUGCCUGGCUCAUGCUACCCCUAAGAAAAAAACAGAAAGAAAAAAAAAAAAA